Molecule: long non-coding RNA, 453 nt
Organism: Solanum stenotomum
Lineage: Eukaryota; Viridiplantae; Streptophyta; Magnoliopsida; Solanales; Solanaceae
Exons: 3
Source: RefSeq, a predicted model, not a curated record
CCAGAUGCUUAGCUCUUUCAAGUUGGGACAAGAAACCUGCAAACGUUGAAGUAUUAUAAAGCAAUUCACAAUUUAAAAUUUAUAGAUAUCUCUAAUGAACUCAGGUUAAUAUCCAAUAACAAUCGCGUUCAUAAUCAAGGAAUCUCUAGAUAUUACUAAUACAGAUUAAAGUCUCUAGGCAAAAGCUAUUGGAUUCACGUGAACCCUUGAGUUACAAUAUUGUAGUUUGGCCUAUAUUUCUUACCUCCGUCUACAUAGAUAUCAGGUGGCAACCAGAAAUAACUAUAUGAAAAGAUUACUAUUACUAUUAUUAUUUGCUAGUUAAAAUGGAAACAUAGCACUAGACCAGGGGUGUAUUAAGGUAUGACACAAAUAUAUAUAGUAAUUAGUUAUAAAGCUAGUGACACAAGACAUACCUUAGAAUUGAACAUUGCUUUAUUGAGAUCAACUACU